GACGAACGCUGGCGGCGUGCUUAACACAUGCAAGUCGAACGGAAAGGCCCUGCUUUUGUGGGGGGCUCGAGUGGCGAACGGGUGAGUAACACGUGAGUAACCUGCCCUUGACUUUGGGAUAACUUCAGGAAACUGGGGCUAAUACCGGAUAGGAGCUCCUGCUGCAUGGUGGGGGUUGGAAAGUUUCGGCGGUUGGGGAUGGACUCGCGGCUUAUCAGCUUGUUGGUGGGGUAGUGGCUUACCAAGGCUUUGACGGGUAGCCGGCCUGAGAGGGUGACCGGCAACAUUGGGACUGAGGUGCGGCCCAGACUCCUACGGGGGGCAGCAGUGGGGAGUAUUGCACAAUGGGCGGAGGCAGGAUGCAGCAACGCCGCGUGCGGGAUGACGGCCUUCGGGGUGUAAACCGCUUUCGCCUGUGACGAAGCGUGAGUGACGGUAAUGGGUAAAGAAGCACCGGCUAACUACGUG
Molecule: ribosomal RNA, 468 nt
Filed under: uncultured bacterium
Lineage: Bacteria
Description: partial 16S ribosomal RNA
Rfam family: Bacterial small subunit ribosomal RNA
Source: RNAcentral